Molecule: ribosomal RNA, 402 nt
Filed under: uncultured Rhodospirillales bacterium
Lineage: Bacteria; Pseudomonadati; Pseudomonadota; Alphaproteobacteria; Rhodospirillales
Description: bacterial SSU rRNA
Rfam family: Bacterial small subunit ribosomal RNA
Source: RNAcentral
AGUGGGGAAUCUUGGACAAUGGGGGCAACCCUGAUCCAGCGACGCCGCGUGGGUGACGAAGGCCUUCGGGUUGUAAAGCCCUUUUCUCGGGGACGAUGAUGACGGUACCCGAGGAAUAAGCACCGGCUAACUCCGUGCCAGCAGCCGCGGUAAGACGGAGGGUGCUAGCGUUGUUCGGAAUUACUGGGCGUAAAGGGCGCGUAGGCGGCCUGGUCAGUCGGGUGUGAAAGCCCGGGGCUCAACCCCGGAACGGCACCCGAGACGGCCAGGCUGGAGACCGGGAGAGGAGGGUGGAAUAGCCAGUGUAGAGGUGAAAUUCGUAGAUAUUGGCUGGAACACCGGUGGCGAAAGCGGCUCUCUGGCCCGGUUCUGACGCUGAGGCGCGAAAGCGUGGGGAGCAAA